Molecule: long non-coding RNA, 217 nt
Filed under: Ursus americanus (American black bear)
Lineage: Eukaryota; Metazoa; Chordata; Mammalia; Carnivora; Ursidae
Description: lncRNA (ENSUAMG00000021774.1)
Source: RNAcentral
CAACUUUGUGAGCGAGUUCAGUGCGUGCGAGAGCGAGUGAGCGAAAAAGGAGAGCGCGCGGCGGACCCACCCCGGACGCGCGGCGGCACCGAGAAGCCGGGCCGAGCGUCCUUAGGUUCAGUUUUGAAUGUGAAUGGCAGUAAACUAAUACCCAGGAUUUCUGUAUAAGAAGUCGAUCAAAAGGACUGUACUGUCAGGUAAGAAUCUCGUUUUACUU